GCCGCAGUAGCCCAGAUGGUAAAGGCGUCGCCAGUAGAUGGCGAAGUUCGCUGGUUCAAAUCCAGCCUGCGGUG
Phthorimaea operculella (potato tuberworm) is the source of this 74-nucleotide non-coding RNA. NCBI's taxonomy places the organism in Eukaryota, Metazoa, Arthropoda, Insecta, Lepidoptera, Gelechiidae. The record is from the annotation of a GenBank genome assembly.